Polyodon spathula (Mississippi paddlefish) is the source of this 601-nucleotide long non-coding RNA. RefSeq lists it as uncharacterized. The transcript has 3 exons. The record is from RefSeq and is a predicted model, not a curated record. NCBI's taxonomy places the organism in Eukaryota, Metazoa, Chordata, Actinopteri, Acipenseriformes, Polyodontidae.
UCCCCAGUCUUAGAGCAGCAAAUAGGCAGUGAUUGUCCAGCUCUGCAGGGAUCAGACAGGACAGACGAGGGCUGCUUCACUGAGAACCGUUCCAAGCAAAAGGCACGGUCACAAGCAAUUGGUGCAAGUCAUUAGUGCCACUUGGUUAGUUCCCCUAUAUAACUGGAACUAAAAGAACAGGAAGGGAGAGAACACGGGGGGAACACACUGGAACCGGACCGUGGCCGUUUUGGACGCGGAAGGAAGAGAAGCAAUACUGGAGCCUAAGCAAUAAACACAUUGAAGAGAAGCAGAAGGAAACAAAAUGGCACAACUAAAUGCAGUCAAGACUCUACAUCACAGGAAAGAAAGGGCUUGCCUUCUCUUUCCCUCCGUUCCAGAAGAAGGAUUGCAGAAUAGAUGGACUGCUGUAUCACCUGCAGACACCCCAAUAAGCAAAGCUCUCACAUAGAGUUAAGUAUCAGUAGCCGGGUCGGAAGACUAAUGCUCUUGUAGGAGUUAUACUGACACAUAAAACCGCCACCAACCGUCAUUAUUACAUUUUAAACAACAUCAAUAUUAAAAUAAAAUACAAACUAUCAGAGACAACUCAAAAGUUUUA